GUGGGGUUAUGGGGUCGGGCUGUGGGGUUAUGGGGUCAGUGUAAGGGGUUAUAGGGCAGCAAUGGGGCUCUGUGGGGUUAUGGGGCCGGACUGUGGGGUUAUGGGGUCAGUGUAAGGGGUUAUAGGGCAGCAAUGGGGCUCUGUGGGGUUAUGGGGUCAGUGUAAGGGGUUAUAGGGCAGCAAUGGGGCUCUGUGGGGUUAUGGGGUCGGACUAUGGGGUUUAUGGGGUCAGUGUAAGGGGUUAUGGGGCAGGAAUGGGGCUGAACGUGGGGUUAUGGGGUCAGAACAUGGGGUUAUGGGGUCAGUGUGUGGGGUUAUGGGGUCACUAUAGAGUCUCUAUGGGGUUAUGGGGCACUAUGGGGUCUCUGUGGGGUUAUAGGGUCGCUGUGUGGGGUUAUGGGGUUUCUAUGGGGUGAUGGGGCUGUGGGGCCUUAAUGUGGAGUUAUGGGGUCUCUGUGGGUUCACUCACUUAUGGGGCAGCAUGGCAUCUCUAUGGGGCCCCACACUUAUGGGGCAGCCCAUCUAUGGGGCCAUCUAUGGGGUCCCAUAUUGUGACCCCACAACUGCCCCAUUUCAGGCCGCCCCACCGACACCGUGGAAGUGCCGUGUGAGGAGGAGGAGGACGGCCCGGCACACACAGGUGGGACCCACACUUAUGGGGCAGCCCCAUAUCCGCACCCCACACUUAUGGGGCAGCCCCAUAGCAGCCCCAUAGCCACCCCAUAUCCGCACCCCACACUUAUGGGGCAGCCCCAUAGCCACCCCAUAACCCCCAUAUCCGCACCCCACACUUAUGGGGCAGCCCCAUCCCCCCCCCAUAACCCCGUUGUUCUGCCCCAUACCCACCCCACACUUAUGGGGCAGCCCCAUAGCCACCCCAUAACCCCCAUAUCCUCACCCCACGCUUAUGGGGCAGC
This 917-nucleotide long non-coding RNA is filed under the name Coturnix japonica (Japanese quail). RNAcentral's name for it is "lncRNA (ENSCJPG00005000873.1)". The record is from RNAcentral. Lineage: Eukaryota; Metazoa; Chordata; Aves; Galliformes; Phasianidae.